CACACAACACACUCCUUUUGAAAAGUGGUCAGUCAUGGCAACAAAAAUAUACACAAAGAGCAAGCUAGUUAAUGGCAGAGGUGUACCAUUCUGCUAGCUAGCCUAUUACUGUUCUUUAAUAUAAAUUGUAAAUAUAAACUGUUCUUAAAUCUUAAACACAGACAAUGGAAAGACACAGAGACUGAAAAUGAGACAAACUCAUCAGGAACAUCAACAUUUACUUCAGGCUCAGCUUGGUUCUCAAGGGUAAGAAACCUCAAGAAGGUGAUUCUCCAGCAGCUUCUGAAAGGCCUCCAGAUGUUUAUGAGCGUUUGUUCAUCAGUUAUCAUUGUGCGAUCCUGAGGAAAGUUCCAGAUCUCCGUGGAGAAGAGGCAUGCAUCAGAGCUGUGUCAAAAUUCACACACAGCAUCUGCCUUACCCAUGAUGCUUCAGGGCAGACGUGAGGAAGCGGAUACACACCGACUCGACUCGGGGGAGAAACAGCAAACACACCCCGAGAUCAGGAGAGAAAAACAGCAUCCGCUUCCUGCUGAUGAGGUGAUUCACUUGAUUUACUCACUCAGCUGGAAUCAGAUCAUUAAACACAAACCAGGAGCAGACCCCUAAUAGAAUUUUUUUCCUUUUAUUGUUACUUUAUUGUGUUAGAAUUACACUUCACCUGUAUGUGUGUAUAUAUAUCAAUACAAUAGAUGUCUACUUUCAAUUUUCUUUGAGAAGUUGUUUUAUAUGCAAAUUAGGCAGUAGAUAAUUAAGUCUUUGCUAAUCUGCAUACCACUUUGUUUUCUUUUUUCUUUCAUUCUUCUUCUUUUUUUUUUUUUUGAUCUAAUGGAUCUCAUUUAAUAACUCGCCCAGUCAGCAGACUUCAUCAUCGUUUAUCUACACAGCAUAAUUUCAUGGAUUUUUUUCCCCCAAGUGCACAGUUACAUGGACAAAAAGUCAUUUUUGUGGAUGUUUCUUCCUUAAAUAAACAUCAAACAGAGAAUAUUUAAGUGUCAAUCAUUGCAUCACCUGAAGAUGUGUCUACACGUACAUUACAGAACAUUAGCAAAUCGUAAUUCAAGCUUUUUUUGCAAGAUAUGAUUCAAUAUUGAUUCAAUUUGGAUUAAAUUAUGAGGAAAGGUUGAGAUUUCUCCAUGAGAAACAUCCAGAGGUCUGAGUCAUCACUCGUCAUGUACUCGGUAUGUGAUCACUUUCAGGGGUUCUUUUAGUGUUCUUUCCAUAACUAAGGCUUCUUAGCCUUAUGAAAGUGGUCUAUGGGGAACCCUUCCUGAUAGGGAAACAAGUUUAGACUAUAAAAGGGUUCUACAGAGGGAGACGUGAAGAACCCUUAAAUCUUAGAACCUUAAAUCUUCUUAAAAUCCCUGUUUCUGUUUGAAUUGUUUAAUUAAAGGGGAUGACUGAAGGGAAAAUCAGCUCCUGUAUGUUUUGGUAUAUUGGUGGAUGUUUUGUUAUUGCUGAUAUACGGUAAAAGGAAACUUGAUGUAAUGUGUAAAAUGUAAUCGAUCGAACAGUUACUACUGUAAAGAUUAUUUUUUCGUUUUAACGUUCUUGUCAUUUUUACAGUAAACUCUGUAGAUGUUUUUUUUUCACACUGUGUCCUCCAGUACAGAACUCUUCCUUCCUAGCCAUAUUUUCUGCAAGGUUUUGACACUUUUAUAUAAUUUUCUACCUGAGAACCGCUAGAGAAUAGAACAUCACCACCGUUCCUGCUUAAAUCCUGAAUAAAGAGAGUGUUUGCAUUUCUAUCAUCUCUCCUGUUCCUUGCGAGACGGAGCUCAGACGCGGGCUGGAGACGAGCUGCACCGCAUACUGAUCAUGCCAGGAGAAAUGUAUUCUGGUUCCACUUUUAUGAACCUCAGAAAUGAGAACAUUUUUCAAGCGAUGCUCGUGCGGCAGCUCUGUCGCUGUGAGGAGACACCAUCACACGUCUCCUUGAAAAGGUGAGAAGCGCAUCAGUUCCCUGAGCUCGGAGUCAUGCUGCGUUACAGGUGAACACCGACAUGUGAUUAACAUUCUCCUCCACGACCACGGCGCCAUUAAACAGCGGUCAAAUCUCUCCAGCACUGAUGUUUCAUGUUUUAUGAACCUGUACCGUAAUAUCAUGAGCAGCAGUUGUUCUUUUUUUACUCAUCCUGUACUAGUCUCGUGUUCGUCCAAUUAAAUACUUUAUAGAGUGUAUAGUGUAUACACCCCGCCCCCAAGGGCAUCUUUCUCUAUAGUAGCAGCUCCUUACCAGUAAACAUGGUUCACCUGUGUUUUUUUUCCCUGUAUGUCUUCACAAACACUAUUCCCAUUUCCAAAUGAGAAUAAAUAUUUGGAGUUUAUUCAUGCCUAAGUGGGCGGAGUUUAUCUGAGUUG
Molecule: long non-coding RNA, 2358 nt
Organism: Ictalurus furcatus (blue catfish)
Lineage: Eukaryota; Metazoa; Chordata; Actinopteri; Siluriformes; Ictaluridae
Exons: 3
Source: RefSeq, a predicted model, not a curated record